This 253-nucleotide ribosomal RNA is filed under the name uncultured bacterium. RNAcentral describes it as "partial 16S ribosomal RNA". It matches the Rfam family "Bacterial small subunit ribosomal RNA", at positions 524 to 776 of the family's 1533-position model. The record is from RNAcentral.
UACGUAGGGGGCGAGCGUUGUUCGGAGUUACUGGGCGUAAAGCGUGCGUAGGCGGUGCGGCAAGUCUGUUGUGAAAUCUCCCGGCUUAACUGGGAGGGUGCGGUGGAAACUGGGGUGCUGGAGUGCGGGAGAGGUAAGCGGAAUUCCCGGUGUAGCGGUGAAAUGCGUAGAUAUCUGGAGGAACACCAAUGGCGAAGGCAACUUCCUGGGGCAAUACUGACACUGAGGUGCGAAAGCGUGGGGAGCAAACAGG